ACAAGUUGACAAGAGCAUCGGGUGGAUGCCUUGGCGUCGGAAGGCGAUGAAAGACGUGGUAAGCUGCGAAAAGCCUCGGGGAGAAGCUAAACAUUCUAUGAUCCGGGGAUUUCUGAAUGGGGAAACCCGGCGGAGGUCAUGCUCCGUCGCGGGCACUUGAAUACAUAAAGUGUCCAGCGCCAACUCAGGGAAGUGAAACAUCUCAGUACCUGAAGGAAAAGAAAUCAAACGAGACUCCCAAAGUAGCGGCGAGCGAAAUGGGAUGAGCCCAAACCGGCUGGAUUCGUUCAGCCGGGGUUGUAGGGCCGGCAUAUGUGAUUCAUGAGUAGGCAGGGGAAAUGAGCUGGAAAGCUCUGCCAGAGCGGGUGACAGCCCCGUACCUGAAACCGAAAGCGACACAGCCGGUACCUGAGUACCGCGAGACACGUGGAACCUCGUGGGAAUCCGGGAGGACCAUCUUCCAAGGCUAAGUACUAACCGACGACCGAUAGUGUACCAGUACCGUGAGGGAAAGGUGAAAAGAACCUCUGUUAGAGGAGUGAAAUAGAAUCUGAAACCUGGUGCUUACAAGCUGUGAGAGCGGACUUGUUCCGUGAUCACGUGCCUUUUGCAUAAUGAGUCAGCGAGUUAAUCUGUACUGCGAGGUUAAGCGCAAGUGGAGCCGUAGGGAAACCGAGUCUGACAAGGGCGAUGAGUAGUGCGGAUUAGACCCGAAACCGGGUGAUCUAUCCAUGAGCAGGUUGAAGCAAGGGUAAAACCUUGUGGAGGACCGAACCAAUACCGGCUGAAAACGGUUUGGAUGACUUGUGGAUAGGGGUGAAAGGCCAAUCAAACCCGGUGAUAGCUGGUUCUCCCCGAAAUAUAUUGAGGUAUAGCCUCAUGGAUUGUCUACCGGAGGUAAAGCACUGACAGGGCUAGGGGUCCUACCAGAUUACCAAACCCUAUCAAACUCAGAAUGCCGGUCAGAUGUACCAUGGGAGUCAGACGGCGGGUGCUAAGGUCCGUCGUCGAGAGGGUAAGAGCCCAGAUCAACAGCUAAGGUCUCCAAAUCUAUGCUCAGUGGUUAAGGUGGUGACGUUGUAGAGACACCCAGGACGUUGGCUUAGAAGCAGCCAUCGUUUAAAGAAAGCGUAAUAGCUCACUGGUCUAAUGACGUUGCGCCGAAAAUGUAACGGGGCUAAGCAUAGUACCGAAGCUUUGAAUUCCGCGAAUGCGGUCUGGUAGGGGAGCGUUCUUCACGGGCUGAAGGUGUGUCGUAAGGCAUGCUGGACUGUGGAGAAGUGAUUAUGCUGACAUGAGUAACGAUAAAACGGGUGAAAAACCCGUUCGCCGUAAACCCAAGGUUUUCCGGGUAAAGGUAAUCUUCCCGGAGUUAGUCGGCCCCUAAGGCGAGGCUGAAAGGCGUAGCUGAUGGGAAACGUGUUAAUAUUCACGUACUUGUGUGUUCGCGCGAUGAAGGGACGCAGGAAGAUAGGCAAGCCGGGCGCUGGUUGUCCCGGUGCAAGCGUGUAGGGAUGAGAAGUUGGCAAAUCCGCUUCUCUCUAUCCUGAGACGCGAGUCCGUGACCGAAAGGUCUGAAGUUGUUGAGUCUAUGCUGCCUAGAAAAGCUUCUAAGUAUAGGACACGCAAACCGUACCGGAAACCAACUCAGGUGGGUGGGAUGAAUAAUCCAAGGCGCUCGAGAGAACUCUGGCCAAGGAACUCGGCAAAAUAACCCCGUACCUUCGGAAGAAGGGGUGCUUUUUAGGGUGAAGCGAUUCACUCUGUCGAGCCCUGAAAAGCCGCAGAGAAAUGGUGGUGGCGACUGUUUACUAAAAACAUAGGUCUGUGCCAAGUCGUAUAGACGACGUAUACGGACUGACGCCUGCCCGGUGCUGGAAGGUUAAAAGGAGGAGUCAGCGCAAGCGAAGCUCCGAAUUGAAGCCCCAGUAAACGGCGGCCGUAACUAUAACGGUCCUAAGGUAGCGAAAUUCCUUGUCGGGUA
This 1984-nucleotide ribosomal RNA is filed under the name human gut metagenome. RNAcentral describes it as "bacterial LSU rRNA". It matches the Rfam family "Bacterial large subunit ribosomal RNA", at positions 1 to 1978 of the family's 2925-position model. The record is from RNAcentral.